Molecule: long non-coding RNA, 2115 nt
Filed under: Callithrix jacchus (white-tufted-ear marmoset)
Lineage: Eukaryota; Metazoa; Chordata; Mammalia; Primates; Cebidae
Description: lncRNA (ENSCJAG00000086153.1)
Source: RNAcentral
CUCCCACCUUCUCCCCGCCCCUUUUCCCGGGUUGGUCCUCCCGCUAAUCAUUCUCUGUCCUCGCUUCCAACGUCGCUUUGGAGAAUUGGCAGUCAAGCCUCGCCAUCCCGCCUCCGGAAAGCGAACUUUAUUUUUAUUGGUGAAAGAACAUCUUCCUGUAUACCUGAUUGGGCAAGGAAGGAACUAGUCUGCACGCCCCCUACCAUUAUUACUCUCCCUUUACGGGCUUGGGAAACACAGCUGUAAAGUCCUCCCCACUUUGCUUUCUAGGAGCUCCUUUCCCUUUAAAUGUUGUUGGGGGUCGAGGACAAACUCAUAUCCUAUAUUGAAGAAAGCUGGAAAGGGACAAGAGAAAAAUUCAAAAUUUUCUCCCGAUGAGUAAUGCAUCCAGAGCUGGCGCUCGGAUCCUGCGGAACCUUAUCCUGUGGUCCAGUGAAUGGAAUGGUUAGAAUUGAGUUAGAAUACCUGAAAGUCCAGUGCUAAUUCUUCCUGAGAUUUACUCAACAAGUUUCGUCCACUGUCCGCUCUACUCAUACCAUUGAUUGCACUGGCAUUUUGCCACGCGAAAGAGCUUUAAUCAAGGUAUCUGAAAACCUGGAGGUUUCCUUGCUUGUCUAGUAAGUGUUCAUUUAGAAAAGCAUUUAAAUUAUUUCCAUUAUAAGUUCCGUUUAAGUCACGUCCUCUGUGACGUUCCGGCGUUUGCAUGAGACCUGUUACUUUUUUGAAAAAAUUAAGUAGAUGGUACCCUUAUGUCAUUCUCAAAGUGCAGGACUUCUUUCCCCACACCCCAGGUCAGUUGAACCCAAGUCGGUACCAUAAGGCUGAUUCUUGAACGACUGAGGUGCCUCUCGGGAGAAAACGCAUCUCUCAGAGGGAGUCUGAUACCAGAAGCUUCACCCUGGAGCGGAAACUCACUCAUUGAAAAGAGAAGAAAUUACGGGAAAGCCUAGUGUGGCGUCUGCAUUAGAAUUUCCCCAGGUUCCCAGGGAAGCUGCAAGAACCAAAAGUGACUUCCUUCCAAGGCAGGAACCAACAGUUGAGCAAUCCCAGUGGACGAAGUAUGCCUUUUGCCAAUACUUUCAGCUAAGAUCUCAGUGUGGACAACAGCCUAGCUUGAGACGUGAGCGCAUAGCUAGAACCAAGGAGUGGAAUCAGCCUCAACCUCACCACACUGACUGAAAGGGAAGAAUGCUUUGUUUUGCAAAAGAAAAUCAAGGCAUUGCUACCAAAAGAAGAGAGGCAUCUGGGAAGCUGCAACAAUGAGCAUUUGCUAUGGUACAUAUGGAUCUACUUAUGAUGUGAGCUAGACGUUUUUGGCAAUUGGAUUAUCGUUUGUUCAACUAUUAUUUUCAGAGAUUGGGUAUUGCUCUAUUGACCAGACUGGAGUACAGUGGUGUGACUGUAGCUCACUGCAAAUAAAUAUGGAGGAAGUGAUAGUGUGUGAUCUCUGACACUAGGUCAUACAGGGCAUUACAGCUUCCUCCUCUACUUCUCACAUCACUCACUCUGCAGAAGCCUGAUGCCUGAUCAUGAGGACACUCAACCAGCACGAAGGAGAGGAACUAAGGCCCCUGUCAGCAACUGUGUCAGUAAGCUGCCUUGGAAGUGGAUACUGUAGCCCCAAGAGAGCCUUCAGAUGAUUGCAAACCCAGUCUGCAUAUUCAUCACAGCCUUGUAAGAGAUCCUGAGGCAGAGCCACACAACACCUACUCCCAAAUUUCUGAGCCACAAAAACUGCCAGAUAAUAAACGUGUGUUGUUUUGAGCUGCUAAAUUUUGGGAUAAUUUAUUACACAACAAUGAAAACUAAUACAGGGACUAUACAGAUGGUAAGCAAUUUGAAACCUUGUUUGGUCAAUUCUAUAACUUACUUUGGGUAAAUGUGAAAAAAGACAUAAGAUUUAUGAUAUGGUAAUAAUCCCAGCUACUCAGGAGAGGAUCACUUGAGCCCAGGAGUUCAAGGCUGCCAUGAGCUUUGAUCGUGCCAUUGUACUCCACUCUGAGUGACAGAGCGAGACCCCCAUCUCUUAAAAAAAAAAAAUUAUCAGAAAUCUCUCUUGUCCUUUUUAUGAAAAUUUUUCUUUGUAUUCUAUAUUCCAGUCUGUUUAGUUAACAG